This 938-nucleotide long non-coding RNA is filed under the name Nicotiana benthamiana. RNAcentral describes it as "long non-coding RNA (NBEN_LNC022580)". The record is from RNAcentral. Lineage: Eukaryota; Viridiplantae; Streptophyta; Magnoliopsida; Solanales; Solanaceae.
AGGGUAAGAAGAACAAAAGGCUGUUCUGGGUACCUGCAAUUGCGCCGUUGAUUUCUGUCAUUCUUUCCACCUUCUUUGUCUACAUUACUCAUGCUGAAAAAAAGGGAGUCGCGAUUGUAAGUGCUUGUUUUAGGUGCCUCCUACUUUCAUUAAAAAAUUUCUAUUGGAACAUAAUGAUCAAUUUUUAAUCAUUUCUAUGACAACCUUACCAGGUAGGACACAUUGAGAAAGGAAUAAAUCCUCCUUCAGUCAAGGAAAUAUAUUUCACUGGUGACUAUCUCUUAAAAGGGCUUAGGACUGGUAUUGUAGCUGGCAUGAUUGCAUUGACGGUAAGCAAAUUAUUUAAUGAAAUGUUGAAGUAGGAAACCUUGAAAUUUUUCCAAUCGAUAUCCGAUGUUUACCUUGUGUUUCAUAGGAAGCUGUUGCAAUUGGAAGAACCUUUGCUUCAAUGAAGGACUACCAGUUGGACGGAAACAAAGAGAUGGUGGCACUUGGAGCUAUGAAUAUUGUUGGCUCAAUGACUUCCUGCUAUGUAGCAACAGGUAAGACAUAUGUACAAGAAAAUGGAGUUUGAGUAAACAUUAAUGUAUUUUAAACUUUCAACACAUAGGUUUCAUUUUUAAGCAGCCAAAUGCAUCAAUAUCAAAUCAUCUAAUUAUCUUUCAUCUGAUGCGCUAUCAUAUGUGGAUGUGUUAUGCUCCAUUAUCGGCCCAACCUAAUGAUGUAACAGGAAUUCUUCACUAAUAUAACUAUACUAUUCAGUUAUUUCUGUCAUUUAUAAUGGUUUGUCCAACUUAUCGAUCAACUAACCUCGUGCAGGUUCCUUCUCUCGCUCAGCUGUAAAUUACACGGCUGGCUGCCAAACUGCAUUUUCCAACAUUGUCAUGUCUGUCGUUGUGUUCCUAACUUUGGAAUUCAUAACCCCUCUUUUUAAGUAU